UGGGGAAUUUUGGACAAUGGGCGAAAGCCUGAUCCAGCAAUGCCGCGUGUGUGAAGAAGGCCUUCGGGUUGUAAAGCACUUUUGUCCGGAAAGAAAUCCUUGGCUCUAAUACAGUCGGGGGAUGACGGUACCGGAAGAAUAAGCACCGGCUAACUACGUGCCAGCAGCCGCGGUAAUACGUAGGGUGCAAGCGUUAAUCGGAAUUACUGGGCGUAAAGCGUGCGCAGGCGGUUUGCUAAGACCGAUGUGAAAUCCCCGGGCUCAACCUGGGAACUGCAUUGGUGACUGGCAGGCUAGAGUAUGGCAGAGGGGGGUAGAAUUCCACGUGUAGCAGUGAAAUGCGUAGAGAUGUGGAGGAAUACCGAUGGCGAAGGCAGCCCCCUGGGCCAAUACUGACACUCAUGCACGAAAGCGUGGGGAGCAAACAGGAUUAGAUACCCUGGUAGUCCACGCCCUAAACGAUGUCAACUAGUUGUUGGGGAUUCAUUUCCUUAGUAACGUAGCUAACGCGUGAAGUUGACCGCCUGGGGAGUACGGUCGCAAGAUUAAAACUCAAAGGAAUUGACGGGGUCAUAGCUGUUUCCU
This 585-nucleotide ribosomal RNA is filed under the name uncultured bacterium. RNAcentral describes it as "partial 16S ribosomal RNA". It matches the Rfam family "Bacterial small subunit ribosomal RNA", at positions 355 to 1375 of the family's 1533-position model. The record is from RNAcentral.